This 446-nucleotide ribosomal RNA is filed under the name uncultured bacterium. RNAcentral's name for it is "partial 16S ribosomal RNA". It matches the Rfam family "Bacterial small subunit ribosomal RNA", at positions 338 to 795 of the family's 1533-position model. The record is from RNAcentral.
CCUACGGGAGGCAGCAGUAGGGAAUUUUCGGCAAUGGGGGGAACCCUGACCGAGCAACGCCGCGUGAACGAAGAAGUUAUUCGUAAUGUAAAGUUCUUGUAACAGGGAAGCAAGAGAAAUUUGACGGUACCUGAAGAAUAAGCUCCGGCUAACUACGUGCCAGCAGCCGCGGUAAUACGUAGUGAGCGAGCUUUAUCCGGAAUUAUGGGGCGUAAGGGGUGCGUAGAUGGCAUAGUAAGUCUUUGGUAAACAUGCUGGGCUAAACCCAGUAGGGCAAAAGAUACUGCAAAGCUAGAGUAUGACAGAGGCAAGGGGAACUACAGGUGUAGCGGUAAAAUGCGUAAAUAUAGGGAAGAACACGAGUGGCGAAGGCGGGUUGCUGGGUAGUUACUGACAUUGAGGCACGAAAGCGUGGGGAGCAAACAGGAUUAGAUACCCUAGUAGUC